RNAcentral lists this ribosomal RNA (445 nucleotides) under uncultured bacterium. RNAcentral describes it as "bacterial SSU rRNA". It matches the Rfam family "Bacterial small subunit ribosomal RNA", at positions 27 to 518 of the family's 1533-position model. The record is from RNAcentral.
GAACGAACGCUGGCGGCAGGCCUAACACAUGCAAGUCGAGCGCGCCCUUCGGGGUGAGCGGCGGACGGGUUAGUAACGCGUGGGAACGUACCCUUUGGUAGGGAAUAGCCACUGGAAACGGUGAGUAAUACCCUAUGAGCCCUUCGGGGGAAAGAUUUAUCGCCAAAGGAUCGGCCCGCGUUAGAUUAGGUAGUUGGUGGGGUAAUGGCCUACCAAGCCUACGAUCUAUAGCUGGUUUUAGAGGAUGAUCAGCAACACUGGGACUGAGACACGGCCCAGACUCCUACGGGAGGCAGCAGUGGGGAAUCUUGGACAAUGGGGGCAACCCUGAUCCAGCCAUGCCGCGUGAGUGAAGAAGGCCUUAGGGUCGUAAAGCUCUUUCGCCUGUGAAGAUAAUGACGGUAGCAGGUAAAGAAACCCCGGCUAACUCCGUGCCAGCCGCGGC